Molecule: non-coding RNA, 23 nt
Filed under: Cricetulus griseus (Chinese hamster)
Lineage: Eukaryota; Metazoa; Chordata; Mammalia; Rodentia; Cricetidae
Source: RNAcentral
AUGUUGUGAUGAUGGGCAAAAUG